ACCUGCAUACAGGUUUCUCAAGCGGCAGAUCAGGUGGUCUGGUAUUUCCAUCUCUUUCAGAAUUUUCCACAGUUUCUUGUGAUCCACACAAUCAAAGGCUUUGGCAUAGUCAAUAAAGAAUAAAUCUGUGUAAAUCCUAUAGGCAGCAGAGGGCUUCCUAAGUAUUUAUUACACAGGACUUCUCUAUGGAAAUAAAGAUCUCACCUUCUCAGGUGAUUACUUUGGGAAGAUCCUGUUCAUUUACAGAAGCAGGGGAGCACUUUACACCAUUGCCUGAGAAUGUCUUGUGGCCCCAGCUAUACUUGGAACUUUCCUUCUUACUCUUCUCUCCCUCUGCUGAUUGCUUCUCAGAAUGGGCCUGUGACUAUCCCCACCUUUACUUUGUCUUUCUUCUUGUACCAAGUGAAACCUGCAGAGACUAGACUGGCAGUGGCCAUGGAUGUAUCCUUUUGAAGCACUGGUACAUGUAAGGAUGCUGGUAGUUCUGGACCACUGAAAUUUUCCUUGUAUUACAAGAAAGGAAGGAAUGGUAAAGUUGGAUAAAAUUGAGUCAUUUUUUUUCCUUUCCUGUUUUUCUGACCAACCAUAAGCAAACCCUUCAGAAAACCACAGAAGAGAUGUACCUGGAAUAAGAGGAAACUCUAAACACCCAUGGAGGAGACAGUCUCCACUGAGGAACCAUCUUUGGUGACUGUGGAGACACCAGCCUUCCUCAAGCUGAAGAACUUGGUGUGAUGUGAUCCUCUCCUAUAGCACCUUCAUCGCUAUAGCCAGGUGCCCAGAGAUUUCUACAAGCUGAGGGCUCAGGUUGGGCUCACAGUCCCUGUCAUUUAAACAGUGCUGCUUGAUUGCCCACGUGGAACCCCCUCAGCUAAUCCAACAGUACAAGAUACCUCCCCAGUCCUGCCAAAGAACUCAGUAAAAAGCCUGCUUCCUAUUCUCUGGGGAUGAAAUAGGAUGGAUUUCAUACCUGAAAAAUGAAAGAGAAUUGAACCCAAACACAAAUAGUAUCUCUCCGUCACUUGACUGAAACUCUGCUGAGAGCUAGACUGGCAAACCCAUCACCUGACAACGUUCACUCAUAUGGGCUCCAAGGAAAAAUUGGAGCCUAACAUCAACUUUUGGAGUUGGAGUUGCCUAACUCAGAAGUCAGAAAAUCUCAUUGGUGUUUCUGACUGAGCUCCAGACCCUGAGGCAAAGCAAGUAAGUGCUGGAAUCAUAAGCUCUUUAUUUUCUAGUUCUUAACACACUUCUUCACAGGUGAUUUCAUAAUAUAGUGGGAUUAUCUAAUAACUAUAUGUACAUCUCUUGAAAAAAAAGUCUAUUCAUAUAAUUCAUAAAAAUAGUCUAUUCGUAUAAUUCAAAUUGUCUAUUCAUAUAUUAUUAUUAAAUAAUAAUAAUAGUGUUGGGAUUAAGACUCUACUUAAUAAAUAUUAGUAAAUUAAGGAAAAGUAUGCAGUGUAUACCAUCAGCAUAAUGCAACAUUCAUUUGAAAAUGAAUACUCUUUUUAAUUUGAAUAACUGCUUAAAAAGGCAGUUUAAGAUUAGAUUCACUUUACUAUUGUGAGGUAGAAAACUGAGAGAAGUUAUAUCAGUUUUCAUAACCUAAGCAUCACAUGCCAUCUCUGAAUGAUCACAUAUUUUAAAUAGCUUAUUAUAAGUAAAAUGUCAUUCUGCUGCCUCUGCUAAGUCGCUUCAGUUGUGUCCGACUCUG
Bubalus bubalis (water buffalo) is the source of this 1714-nucleotide long non-coding RNA. RefSeq lists it as uncharacterized. The transcript has 4 exons. The record is from RefSeq and is a predicted model, not a curated record. Lineage: Eukaryota; Metazoa; Chordata; Mammalia; Artiodactyla; Bovidae.